UACGAAGGUGGCUAGCGUUGUUCGGAAUCACUGGGCGUAAAGCGCACGUAGGCGGACCUAUAAGUCAGGGGUGAAAUCCCGGGGCUCAACCUCGGAACUGCCUUUGAUACUGUGGGUCUCGAGACCGGAAGAGGUGAGUGGAAUUCCUAGUGUAGAGGUGAAAUUCGUAGAUACUAGGAAGAACACAAGUGGCGAAGGCGGCUCACUGGUCCGGUUCUGACGCUGAGGUGCGAAAGCGUGGGGAGCAAACAGG
Molecule: ribosomal RNA, 253 nt
Filed under: uncultured bacterium
Lineage: Bacteria
Description: partial 16S ribosomal RNA
Rfam family: Bacterial small subunit ribosomal RNA
Source: RNAcentral